UACGGAGGGUGCGAGCGUUAUUCGGAAUUACUGGGCGUAAAGCGCGUGUAGGCGGGGAUGCAAGUCUGAUGUGAAAGCCCUGGGCUUAACCUGGGAAGUGCAUUGGAAACUGCAUUUCUUGAGUACUGGAGAGGAAGGGGGAAUUCCCGGUGUAGAGGUGAAAUUCGUAGAGAUCGGGAGGAAUACCAGUGGCGUAGGCGCCCUUCUGGACGGUUACUGACGCUGAGACGCGAAAGCGUGGGGAGCAAACAGG
RNAcentral lists this ribosomal RNA (253 nucleotides) under uncultured bacterium. RNAcentral's name for it is "partial 16S ribosomal RNA". It matches the Rfam family "Bacterial small subunit ribosomal RNA", at positions 524 to 776 of the family's 1533-position model. The record is from RNAcentral.